This 1046-nucleotide long non-coding RNA is filed under the name Manihot esculenta (cassava). Its description in RNAcentral is "long non-coding RNA (MESC_LNC012817)". Lineage: Eukaryota; Viridiplantae; Streptophyta; Magnoliopsida; Malpighiales; Euphorbiaceae. The record is from RNAcentral.
AGCAUGAACUCAAGCGGGGGUGAGAUGUUUGUUGUGAUAUAAUUGUGAUAUGACGCAUUUCAUGAAUGCAUGAAUAAGAAGAAUAAUUGAAUUGAAUAAAAUGUCUUUAUAAUAAAAUACAUAAAAAGGGUGGAACAAUAAAAGGCAUAAUAAUAUACCUAAAAAUGGAGGAACUAAAUCAAAUAUUUUUCUAUGUUUCUACUCACUGGGCUCUUGUAGCUCACCCCAUUCCCUUAACCCCAGUUUUGCAGGGCCAGAGUAUGUCAAGCCAGAGUAAGUCAGAAGAACUAUAGGAUAGAAGAGGUUCAAGCAUGGGUUGCCAUGUUUGGUUGUAAUAGCUUAGCUUGUUUUGUUUAUGUUUAUGUAUAAGAGAUGCCUGUAUGUAUAUGUUUAUGGAUAUAGUGAACGUUAUGUAAGAAAGUUGCUAAAGAGAUGAUAAAUUAUGUAAUGCUAUGUAUGUUUGUUGCUUGCAUAGUUUAGUGGUGGACAUGAGCAUGAAAAUAUAUGGACAUGAUAGAUGGACUUGAUGUAUGGUCCUUAUGUAUAUAAAGAAUAUGAUGAAUGGAAAGAGUAAAGAGUAAUGUUAUAAAGAGAUAGAGCCAAGUUAAGAAAAGUAUGGAUAUGCCAUGUGACGUAGCAUGGGAUGUAUAGAAUUGUGCUUUGCCUAGAGUGUUGGUAAAUCCCUUUUUGUUAUGCAUGAUCUUGAGAAAAUGUUUCAAAUGUUAUGAGUUUUGAACGGCCCGUGAGGGAAGAAAGGGUUCCAAUCCCUUGACCCAAAGCGGAUAUGUUUUAAAGCAAGCUUGAUGACCCAUCUGGUAUGAGGUUCUAUGUCUGCAUGCAUAGGUCAAGCUGAGGUAAGGAAAACAAGUUUAAAGGCUUUUAUGAGACCAAAGCUUAAGUUUUCAAGCAAAGUUUGAUCAUGCACGGGAUUAUACCUAGAGUUCAAGAUGUAUAGAGGCUUACUACGGGUCCCGGCGGCCUUAAGCCGAUCUGGAUCCUAGUACCGAGCAGUUUGGGGCCGUUACAAGAGGGGUACCGGUUUCCGG